UGCUAUGUUGAUCGGUAUUAUAUUCGGUGGCCUGUUAGGUGGUCUGAAUGGGUUGAUUAUUACAAAAGGUGGUGCUGCACCAUUCAUCGCUUC
This 93-nucleotide transfer RNA is filed under the name Leuconostoc pseudomesenteroides. RNAcentral's name for it is "tRNA-Asn(gtt)". Lineage: Bacteria; Bacillati; Bacillota; Bacilli; Lactobacillales; Lactobacillaceae. The record is from RNAcentral.